Long non-coding RNA from Lepidothrix coronata (blue-crowned manakin), 2514 nucleotides. RefSeq lists it as uncharacterized. NCBI's taxonomy places the organism in Eukaryota, Metazoa, Chordata, Aves, Passeriformes, Pipridae. The record is from RefSeq and is a predicted model, not a curated record. The transcript has 14 exons.
UUCCCUGAGGGGGCGUCGAGGAGAACUCGACAGCCCGAGCUGUGCGGUACAUCUUCCUGCACCUUCCUUCUGAAAUGUGCUCACGGGCAAGGCAGGGCAGCUUGCAAACUGCAUCCCAGAUUCAGUAUUAUUUAGAGACAACACAAAACCGAGAGUUUUUUUCCGUACAGAACCACAAAACUGCAGGGGUCUCCUGGUGUCUGUGGUCGUUCAUUCACCUGCCCAAGACUCUGGAUGAAGGCAUUGCCUUGGCCCCAGUUCAGGUGGCUGCACACAAAAGCUUAACGAUGAAAAAGCAAAUACAGGAGGAAGUUCUUCAAAUCUGAAAGUCCCCAUCCCUUCCUCUGCGCUGUGGAGGCUGUAGCAGAAGUGUUUCGCUGGAGAGUUGUUAAAGGAGCUGGGCACUGACGGCCUGCACACUGUUCUCCCACUUCAGAGGGGCCUGCCUUGGAAAGUAUUUUAUGGUCAGUGGAAAAAAAUGAGGAAGAGGAGGGUGUGGCCGCUGCUGGGAGGCUCUGGCUCUGCAGAGGGUCACUGCCUUGUGGAGAUGGGACGUUCAUCAGGACGAAACAGAGCCGCCUUUUAGGAAAUGUGUGUUGAUCCUCUGAAGCCGAAUCCUCAGGCAUUUGUGGCCCGUCCUUGCAGCCCGGUCCAGCUGGAGCCCUUGGAAGCGCGUCACUCCCUGCGGAGCUGCUGCGGCGUUCCCGAGGCCUGUGCCUGCGGAUCCAGCGUGGAGAGCCCCAUCUCCAGCAGCCAGGUGGAGCAGACACCCAGGGAAAAGGGACUUCGGUGUGGGACAGAGCUCAAAUGUCAGUGCCCCUUCUGCCAUGGCCUAGCAGCCUGGGUGUAGUCGCCCUGUCAGAAGUAUGAAAUUUACAGCAGAAGAAUUAAUUUAACACCAAAAAAGCUCUCCCUCGUCUGAACUGUCAUUCAAAAUGCACAGUGAAAAUCACCAAGGAGAAGUUUUCUACCCCACUGUCUGCAGGACUCCUGGAAGAAUCUUCUGAAACUUGCGGAAGUGGUCUAUUCCAAGAACUCUAAUAUACGAAGACUUGUUAAGGUUAAAGUCUCUGCAGGCUGAAGUUCAUUUUUUGAAGAAGAAACACAGUUAACAGUAAAAUCAGUUCGUAGGUAGGAUAUUGCCAGCCUGGUCGUUUCACUUCUUGCAUGUGUUCAGUUGGAAGUCAACUGAAAAUCAGCAGAAGCUUCCAGCACAUCUGUCUCAGGCUGCCCUUAAAAAGACAAAGCAGUGAUCUGGCAAAAUGAACUCAAAACACACAAGGAGGAACCAUUGGAGACUAACCUGCAAGGUGUUCAGAUUCACUGAUAACAUGGAAACCAGAGUCUGUUAACCACUGGCUGUUCCAGAUACGAUGUCAAAGCCAACAAGGAGAGUUGAAGUAGUGUGACUCAAAAAAAGUAUUUUGGAUCAGCAAGAAACAGUGAUGUUUUCAGUCAUGAACAUGGCAGGACCACCGCAUUGGACCGAACUGCCCAACAUCAUCUCAUAAAGAAUGACUUACUGAGGAGCCAAGUUAGAAAAUGACAGAAGUGAAGAUUGGUCAUCUCUGCAGAGGAAAUGACAAGAGUAGCUUCAAACACAGCUCCUGUGACCUGUGGCUCCUUCUCAUCCAUAAAGAACUGGAGACACAACACGAACAGGCCGGCACAGACAGCACCAGAUGGCCCUCGGAACUGGAGCAGGUUUCAUCUCCCCUGGACUGUGGCCUCACCCUGAUUUCUGGGCAUUAGGAUCUGGUGGUCCUCACCUCUGCCUUGGAGACCUCAGGGAUGCAGGGUGAAUAUUUUUAGCUCUCUCACCUAGCACUGCACCUGAAACUGAAAGUGAAGUCCACAUAUAUUAAAGACAGGCAGUGAAAUCCCUGGAACAUACUCAGGGUUUCCAGGAGCUUGCCACUAUUUGGAUCUGUCUUUCUUCUUAGAGUCUCUGGAAUCAGCUGUAAGUGUAAGUUCUUCAUCCAAAAUUCCCUGUUGUUGGAGUUGGUUGGGUCUGUGGGGUUGUUUGGGCUUUUCACUACUGUGAAUCAUCCUUUUAGUGCCAGACUGGUCCUUUGAACUGGUUUCGCUGUACCAUCCAGCAUAAAGAGUUGCUACUCUGAAAAGUUAUGUUGUUUUAAUCCUUCCACUUCAAAGUAAAUGCUUACAAAAGUGUCACUUUGAAGUCAGUCACACAAUGCACAGCUUUCCUCCAAUUAUGUUAUGUAAUAUGGUUCUGUUGAUAUAAGCAUAGGGUUUAUUUUACACAGAAAGCACUUCCUGAGAGGUGACUGCACAACUCACAGGUUGCUGAAAUGGCACAGAAUUUUAGCCAAAGCUCCAAUGCAAGUUCUUGGCUCUUAGGAAAAAUACUGAGGUCUCUGACUGCAUGCACAAAGAUGAUGUUUAUUUUUAAAUAUUUGAUCUAAGAACCAGAGGCACGGGGUAGGGCGUUUUUCAGAGGAUUAUUCUGAGAGCAAUUGACUUUAAAACCCCUCAGUACAUAGAGAAGACUGU